UACGGGGGGGGCUAGCGUUGUUCGGAAUUACUGGGCGUAAAGGGCGCGUAGGCGGCUUGCACCGUCAGAUGUGAAAUUCCUGGGCUUAACCUGGGGGCUGCAUUUGAUACGUGUGGGCUUGAGUGCGGAAGAGGGUCGUGGAAUUCCCAGUGUAGAGGUGAAAUUCGUAGAUAUUGGGAAGAACACCGGUGGCGAAGGCGGCGACCUGGUCCGUGACUGACGCUGAGGCGCGAAAGCGUGGGGAGCAAACAGG
This 253-nucleotide ribosomal RNA is filed under the name uncultured bacterium. Its description in RNAcentral is "partial 16S ribosomal RNA". It matches the Rfam family "Bacterial small subunit ribosomal RNA", at positions 524 to 776 of the family's 1533-position model. The record is from RNAcentral.